Molecule: ribosomal RNA, 253 nt
Filed under: uncultured bacterium
Lineage: Bacteria
Description: partial 16S ribosomal RNA
Rfam family: Bacterial small subunit ribosomal RNA
Source: RNAcentral
UACGGAGGGGGCUAGCGUUGUUCGGAAUUACUGGGCGUAAAGCGCACGUAGGCGGCUUUGUGAGUUAGAGGUGAAAGCCCGGGGCUCAACCCCGGAAUUGCCUUUAAGACUGCAUCGCUAGAAUUGUGGAGAGGUGAGUGGAAUUCCGAGUGUAGAGGUGAAAUUCGUAGAUAUUCGGAAGAACACCAGUGGCGAAGGCGACUCACUGGACACAUAUUGACGCUGAGGUGCGAAAGCGUGGGGAGCAAGCAGG